Molecule: ribosomal RNA, 209 nt
Filed under: Zhangixalus moltrechti (Nantou flying frog)
Lineage: Eukaryota; Metazoa; Chordata; Amphibia; Anura; Rhacophoridae
Description: Rhacophorus moltrechti (Nantou flying frog) partial 16S ribosomal RNA
Rfam family: Bacterial large subunit ribosomal RNA
Source: RNAcentral
AGCCAUGCAUUCUAAUUUUAGGUUGGGGUGACCGCGGAGUAAAAAUUAACCUCCACGACGAAAAGAACUAAAUCUUUAUCCAAGAGUUACAACUCUAAGAAUUAGAACACUAACGACAAUGACCCGAUAAUCGAUCAACGGACCAAGUUACCCUGGGGAUAACAGCGCAAUCUACUUCGAGAGCUCAUAUCGACAAGUAGGCUUACGAC